UACAGAGGUCCCCAAGCGUUGUUCGGAUUCAUUGGGCGUAAAGGGUGCGUAGGCGGCGCGGUAAGUCGGGUGUGAAAUCUCGGAGCUUAACUCCGAAACUGCAUUCGAUACUGCCGUGCUUGAGGACUGGAGAGGAGACUGGAAUUUACGGUGUAGCGGUGAAAUGCGUAGAUAUCGUAAGGAAGACCAGUGGCGAAGGCGGGUCUCUGGACAGUUCCUGACGCUGAGGCACGAAGGCCAGGGGAGCAAACGGG
This 254-nucleotide ribosomal RNA is filed under the name uncultured bacterium. Its description in RNAcentral is "partial 16S ribosomal RNA". It matches the Rfam family "Bacterial small subunit ribosomal RNA", at positions 524 to 776 of the family's 1533-position model. The record is from RNAcentral.